CAUUUUUAAAUUGAAGAUAAUUAUAACAAUACAUGUAAUUGUAAUUAUUUGAUUAAAGAAUGCAAAAUAUUAUAAAACAAUAAGGCAAAUCUUUACCUUUUGUGAAAAAAAGGGGGAUGUUUUUAUUAUUUUUCACCGAAUCAACAAAUUCGUGCAAAAAAUAAAGGAACAGGGUUUAUGGCCGUUUGAUCUGCCAAAGGAGACAAC
This 207-nucleotide long non-coding RNA is filed under the name Mytilus galloprovincialis (Mediterranean mussel). Lineage: Eukaryota; Metazoa; Mollusca; Bivalvia; Mytilida; Mytilidae. The record is from RNAcentral.